This 460-nucleotide ribosomal RNA is filed under the name uncultured bacterium. RNAcentral's name for it is "partial 16S ribosomal RNA". It matches the Rfam family "Bacterial small subunit ribosomal RNA", at positions 338 to 795 of the family's 1533-position model. The record is from RNAcentral.
CCUACGGGAGGCAGCAGUGAGGAAUAUUGGUCAAUGGCCGGAAGGCUGAACCAGCCAUGCCGCGUGAAGGUCAGUGCCCUAUGGGCGUUAAACUUCUUUUGUGCGGGAGCAAUAAUGGUCACGUGUGGCCAGACGAGAGUUCCGUACGAAUAAGCAUCGGCUAACUCCGGGCCAGCAGCCGCGGUUAUACGGGGGAUGCAAGCGUUAUCCGGGUUUAUGGGGUUUAAAGGGUGCGUAGGCUGUGUGGUAAGUCAGCGGUGAAAUGCCGCCGCUCAACGGGGUGAAGUGCCAUUGAUACUGCCUUGCUGGAGUACGGAUGCCGUGGGAGGAAUGUGUGGUGUAGCGGUGAAAUGCAUAGAUAUCACACAGAACACCGAUUGCGAAGGCAUCUCACGAAUCCGCGAUUGACGCUGAUGCACGAAAGCGUGGGUAUCAAACAGGAUUAGAUACCCCGGUAGUC